GAUGAAGAACGUAGCGAAAUGCGAUAAGUAAUGCGAAUUGCAGAAUUUCCGUGAGUCAUCGAAUCUUUGAACGCACAUUGCGCCCUUUGGUAUUCCUUAGGGCAUGCCUGUUCGAGCGUCAUCUAAACCUUCAAGCUCAGCUUGGUGAUGGGCGACUGUCCCCCCCCCUCGCGGGGGGGACUCGCCUCAAAAACAUUGGCGGCCGGUACAUUGGCUUCGAGCGCAGCAGAAACGCGGUCUCGAGCCCGGUGGAUCGGCUCCCAUAAGCCUAUUCUUUUAUUUUGACCUCGGAUCAGGUAGGGAUACCCGCUGAACUUAAGCAUAUCAAUAAGCGGAGGA
This 339-nucleotide unclassified non-coding RNA is filed under the name soil metagenome. Its description in RNAcentral is "partial contains 5.8S ribosomal RNA, internal transcribed spacer 2, and large subunit ribosomal RNA". The stretch from base 1 to 121 matches the Rfam family "5.8S ribosomal RNA", at positions 35 to 154 of the family's 154-position model. The record is from RNAcentral.